This 524-nucleotide ribosomal RNA is filed under the name uncultured bacterium. RNAcentral describes it as "partial 16S ribosomal RNA". It matches the Rfam family "Bacterial small subunit ribosomal RNA", at positions 28 to 523 of the family's 1533-position model. The record is from RNAcentral.
GACGAACGCUGGCGGCGUGCCUAAUACAUGCAAGUCGAACGAAGCUGUUUUAACUGGUGCUUGCACCGACUUAAACAACUGAGUGGCGAACGGGUGAGUAACGCGUGGGUAACCUGCCCCAAAGCGGGGGAUAACAUUUGGAAACAGAUGCUAAUACCGCAUAACCACAGAAACCACAUGGUUUCUGUGUCAAAGACGGUUUCGGCUAUCACUUUGGGAUGGACCCGCGGCGUAUUAGCUAGUUGGUAAGGUAAUGGCUUACCAAGGCAAUGAUACGUAGCCGAACUGAGAGGUUGAUCGGCCACAUUGGGACUGAGACACGGCCCAAACUCCUACGGGAGGCAGCAGUAGGGAAUCUUCCACAAUGGACGAAGGUCUGAUGGAGCAACGCCGCGUGAGUGAAGAAGGUUUUCGGAUCGUAAAACUCUGUUGUCAGAGAAGAACGUGUGCGAGAGUAACUGUUCGUGCAGUGACGGUAUCUGGCCAGAAAGCCACGGCUAACUACGUGCCAGCCGCCGCCGUAA